This 600-nucleotide ribosomal RNA is filed under the name uncultured bacterium. Its description in RNAcentral is "bacterial SSU rRNA". It matches the Rfam family "Bacterial small subunit ribosomal RNA", at positions 791 to 1396 of the family's 1533-position model. The record is from RNAcentral.
UAGUCCACGCCGUAAACGAUGGAUACUAGCUGUGGGGCCUUAUGGUUCCGUGGCCAAGCGAAAGUGAUAAGUAUCCCACCUGGGGAGUACGUUCGCAAGAAUGAAACUCAAAGGAAUUGACGGGGGCCCGCACAAGCGGUGGAGCAUGUGGUUUAAUUCGAUGAUACGCGAGGAACCUUACCAGGGCUUAAAUGCAGGCUGCACGGGGCAGAGACGCCCCUUUCUUCGGACCGCCUGCAAGGUGCUGCAUGGUUGUCGUCAGCUCGUGCCGUGAGGUGUCAGGUUAAGUCCUAUAACGAGCGCAACCCCUGCCGUUAGUUGCCAGCAUGUAAAGAUGGGGACUCUAACGGGACUGCCGGUGCAAACCGUGAGGAAGGUGGGGACGACGUCAAAUCAUCACGGCCCUUACGUCCUGGGCCACACACGUGCUACAAUGGCCGGUACAGAGGGAAGCCACCCCGCGAGGGGGAGCGGAUCUACAAAGCCGGUCUCAGUUCGGAUCGGGGUCUGCAACUCGACCCCGUGAAGCUGGAAUCGCUAGUAAUCGCAUAUCAGCCAUGAUGCGGUGAAUACGUUCCCGGGCCUUGUACACACCGCCCC